CCCUUAGAUGUUCUGGGCCGCACACGCGCUACACUGAAGGAGGCAGCGUGUACUCCUGGAUCGAAAGAUUUGGGUAACCCGCGAAUCUCCUUCGUGCUAGGGAUUGAGGCUUGCAAUUAUCCUUCAUGAACGAGGAAUUCCCAGUAAGUGCAAGUCAUAAGCUUGCGCUGACUACGUCCCUGCCCUUUGUACACACCGCCCGUCGCUACUACCGAUUGAAUGAUUUAGUGAGGACUUUGGACUGGGACCGAUGCGGCUUUCGGGCUGCGUCGGUAUUCUGGAAAGAUGUCCAAACUGUAUCAUUUAGAGGAAGUAAAAGUCGUAACA
RNAcentral lists this ribosomal RNA (327 nucleotides) under uncultured eukaryote. RNAcentral's name for it is "partial 18S ribosomal RNA". It matches the Rfam family "Eukaryotic small subunit ribosomal RNA", at positions 1470 to 1796 of the family's 1831-position model. The record is from RNAcentral.